This 253-nucleotide ribosomal RNA is filed under the name uncultured bacterium. Its description in RNAcentral is "partial 16S ribosomal RNA". It matches the Rfam family "Bacterial small subunit ribosomal RNA", at positions 524 to 776 of the family's 1533-position model. The record is from RNAcentral.
UACGAAGGGGGCUAGCGUUGCUCGGAAUUACUGGGCGUAAAGGGAGCGUAGGCGGAUAGGUUAGUCAGAGGUGAAAGCCCAGGGCUCAACCUUGGAAUUGCCUUUGAUACUGGCUAUCUUGAGUACGGAAGAGGUAUGUGGAACUCCGAGUGUAGAGGUGAAAUUCGUAGAUAUUCGGAAGAACACCAGUGGCGAAGGCGACAUACUGGUCCGUUACUGACGCUGAGGCUCGAAAGCGUGGGGAGCAAACAGG